This 253-nucleotide ribosomal RNA is filed under the name uncultured bacterium. Its description in RNAcentral is "partial 16S ribosomal RNA". It matches the Rfam family "Bacterial small subunit ribosomal RNA", at positions 524 to 776 of the family's 1533-position model. The record is from RNAcentral.
UACAGAGGGUGCGAGCGUUAAUCGGAAUCACUGGGCGUAAAGCGUGCGUAGACGGUUAUUUAAGUCGGGUGUGAAAGCCCCGGGCUCAACCUGGGAAUUGCAUUCGAGACUGAAUAGCUAGGGUACGGUAGAGGGAAGCGGAAUUUCCGGUGUAGCGGUGAAAUGCGUAGAUAUCGGAAGGAACAUCAGUGGCGAAAGCGGCUUCCUGGACCAGUACCGACGUUCAGGCACGAAAGCGUGGGGAGCAAACAGG